UCAGCAGCCGCGGUAAUACGUAGGUCACAAAUGUUAUCCGGAAUUAUUGGGCGUAAAGGGUCCGUAGGCGGUUCGGUAAGUCUCMUGUGAAAUCUUCAGGCUCAACUUGAAGAGGUCGGGGGAUACUGCUGAACUUGAGACAGACAGAGGCAAAUGGAAUUCCCGGUGUAGUGGUGAAAUGCGUAGAUAUCGGGAGGAACACCAGUGGCGAAAGCGGUUUGCUGGGUCUGUUCUGACGCUGAGGGACGAAAGCGUGGGUAGCAAACCGGAUUAGAUACCCKGGUAGUCCACGCCGUAAACGAUGAAUACUAGGUUUUCGGGGUAUCGACCCCCUSUGAGCCGUMGCUAACGCAAUAAGUAUUCCGCCUGGGGACUACGGUCGCAAGACUAAAACUCAAAGGA
This 402-nucleotide ribosomal RNA is filed under the name uncultured bacterium. RNAcentral's name for it is "bacterial SSU rRNA". It matches the Rfam family "Bacterial small subunit ribosomal RNA", at positions 508 to 908 of the family's 1533-position model. The record is from RNAcentral.